This 215-nucleotide long non-coding RNA is filed under the name Elaeis guineensis (African oil palm). RNAcentral's name for it is "long non-coding RNA (EGUI_LNC020636)". The record is from RNAcentral. Lineage: Eukaryota; Viridiplantae; Streptophyta; Magnoliopsida; Arecales; Arecaceae.
GGGGAGCUCUUCUUGUCGCUCUAUCUUCAUAAGAAUUUGAGAUCAGGGGGUGGGGGGGUUCAGUGGAGUAAAAUAAUAAAACCUCCACGGAGGAGUCCUAGAUCGGCAUGGUGCUGUAGGGGACCUAGGCCAUUGUUUCAAGGUAGAGUUCGAGAACGAUGAGGCUUUGGCUCCACACGUCGAUGCUACACUCGUCGAUGGUCCUCCUUCUCUUG